Non-coding RNA from Pongo pygmaeus (Bornean orangutan), 399 nucleotides. The record is from the annotation of a RefSeq genome assembly. NCBI's taxonomy places the organism in Eukaryota, Metazoa, Chordata, Mammalia, Primates, Hominidae.
CAGACCCAGUCAGGACACAGCAUGGACAUGAGGGUCCCCGCUCAGCUGCUGGGGCUCCUGCUGCUCUGGCUCCCAGGUGUCAGACGUGACAUCCAGAUGACCCAGUCUCCAUCCUUCCUGUCUGCAUCUGUAGGAGACAGAGUCACUAUCACUUGCCAGGCAAGUGAGGGCAUUAGCAGUGAUUUAGCCUGGUAUCAGCAGAAACCAGGGAAAUCCCCUAAGCUCUUCCUCUAUGAUGCAAAGGAUUUGUGCACUGGGGUCUCAUCAAAGUUCAGUGGCAGUGGAUCUGGGACAGAUUUCAUUCUCACCAUCAGCAGCCUUGAGCUUGAAGAUUUUGCAGCUUAUUACUGUGAACAGAAGUCCAGUUACCCUCCCACAAUGUUACAAGCCAGAACAUAA